This 459-nucleotide ribosomal RNA is filed under the name uncultured bacterium. RNAcentral's name for it is "partial 16S ribosomal RNA". It matches the Rfam family "Bacterial small subunit ribosomal RNA", at positions 338 to 795 of the family's 1533-position model. The record is from RNAcentral.
CCUACGGGAGGCUGCAGUGAGGAAUAUUGGUCAAUGGGCGCGAGCCUGAACCAGCCAAGUCGCGUGAGGGAAGACGGUCCUCUGGAUUGUAAACCUCUUUUGUCGGGGAGCAAAAGACGCCACGCGUGGCGUUCCGCGCGUCCCCGAAGAAAAAGCAUCGGCUAACUCCGUGCCAGCAGCCGCGGUAAUACGGAGGAUGCGAGCGUUAUCCGAAUUUAUUGGGUUUAAAGGGUGCGCAGGCGGGAGAUCAAGUCAGCGGUAAAAUGUCGGGGCUCAACCCCGGCCGGCCGUUGAAACUGGUUGUCUAGAGUGGGAGAGAAGUAGGCGGAAUUCGUGGUGUAGCGGUGAAAUGCAUAGAUAUCACGAAGAACUCCGAUUGCGAAGGCAGCAUACCGGAUCCAGACUGACGCUGAGGCACGAAAGCGUGGGGAUCGAACAGGAUUAGAUACCCUUGUAGUC